This 368-nucleotide long non-coding RNA is filed under the name Gossypium barbadense (sea-island cotton). RNAcentral's name for it is "long non-coding RNA (GBAR_LNC021600)". Lineage: Eukaryota; Viridiplantae; Streptophyta; Magnoliopsida; Malvales; Malvaceae. The record is from RNAcentral.
CUUGCAUCAAAUAUUGGAAUACUGAUUCGGAAAAUUCUUCUUGAGACAUGAUUUAAUUGCUCACCACAAAAAUCUCACAUUUCACUCGCAAAGAAAAUUCACACAACUUGGCUUUUACUUCUCUCAAAUGGUCUCACCAAUCACUCUUGCCUUUUUCCACUCGAUUUUUCGCCUCUCGAAGUUCUUCGCAAACUAAGUCGACGAAUCAAUACCGUUUGGCGUCGGCUUACAAAAUUGAUUUGGCUUGGUGGGUAAUGAUGUCGGAAAUGGUAGGCUAUCAAACAAAAUAGAAAUGGUUAAGUGUGGCUAUAUAGAUAUGGUCCUUCGGGCAACAAGCAAUGCUUUUACAAACCCAAAAUGAAUUUCAA